GACGAACGCUGGCGGUGUGCUUAACACAUGCAAGUCGAACGGUAAGGCCCUUUCGGGGGUACACGAGUGGCGAACGGGUGAGUAACACGUGAGUAACCUGCCCUCAUCUCUGGGAUAACAGUCGGAAACGGUUGCUAAUACUGGAUAUGAGCUUGCAAGGCAUCUUGUGGGUUGGAAAGAUUUUUUUGGUUGGGGAUGGACUCGCGGCCUAUCAGCUUGUUGGUGAGGUAGUGGCUCACCAAGGCUUCGACGGGUAGCCGGCCUGAGAGGGCGACCGGCCACAUUGGGACUGAGAUACGGCCCAAACUCCUACGGGAGGCAGAAGUGGGGAAUAUUGCACAAUGGACGGAAGUCUGAUGCAGCAACGCCGCGUGCGGGAUGACGGCCUUCGGGUUGUAAACCGCUUUCAAUUGUGACGAAGCUUUUUGUGACGGUAGCAGUAGAAGAAGCACCGGCUAACUACGUG
RNAcentral lists this ribosomal RNA (466 nucleotides) under uncultured bacterium. RNAcentral describes it as "partial 16S ribosomal RNA". It matches the Rfam family "Bacterial small subunit ribosomal RNA", at positions 28 to 507 of the family's 1533-position model. The record is from RNAcentral.